Fundulus heteroclitus (mummichog) is the source of this 425-nucleotide long non-coding RNA. RefSeq lists it as uncharacterized. The transcript has 2 exons. NCBI's taxonomy places the organism in Eukaryota, Metazoa, Chordata, Actinopteri, Cyprinodontiformes, Fundulidae. The record is from RefSeq and is a predicted model, not a curated record.
AAAGACACACAUAAACACUCAAAGACACACAACCAUACAUAUCAUACAAGAUAAAUCUGAGCAGUACAUUUUAUUGUUGAUGAAAAGCCUGUUUAGGGCUCUUUCAGUUAAUUCUUUUCAUGUUCUGUUUUGUUUGAUGGCAGAGACGCCAUCAAAUAAAGAAGGGGUAGAUGUAAAGCGGUGCAUAAAUGUUCCAAAAGGGGGUGCUGUUUUCUGCAAUUCCUGGCACUACCGCAAUUCUAACAUGUUUGUCCUGCUGGGGACACCGUAGUGCAGGGGAUUUUUUGUGCGCGAACGCUGUAUUCCUUACAGUGUGUUUACUGCCUGUAAGGUGGACGAAAUAAACGCGCCAAGGUCUCCCCACAACUAAGAGCCCUGUGUCCAGUUCCUCUUCUGCACGGAACACAUCCCACCUUCACCCAAAA